RNA transcript from Prunus mume (Japanese apricot), 1718 nucleotides. It is a transcript of the gene named putative WRKY transcription factor 15, with no coding region annotated. The record is from RefSeq and is a predicted model, not a curated record. Lineage: Eukaryota; Viridiplantae; Streptophyta; Magnoliopsida; Rosales; Rosaceae.
CAUGAAGUGGAUGAUGAAUAAUUUAUCCACUAAGCCACUGAAGCAACAUAGUUUUGAUCCAUUGGUGGUUUCUGCCACCUUGGUCUUCACGAUCAUGUUUAGCACUUUAGCCCUCAUCACAGCCUCACCUUGUUUUGGCACAGUUGAGGUUGUAAGAAAAUUAAUUUGGUAGGGUUUGGGAUUGGCUCUUGAAGAAGGAAUCAGGCGUCUGUGUUUCAAUGAACCCAGGAUUGGAUUUCAAAAUUCAUGAGGCUGCUCAAAGUAGUUUGAAACAUGCCCAUCACCUGUUUGGUUGUGUAUCUGAGAAUAAACAAAAGAGAAGUGUUCAAGAAGUAAGCUUGAUUGCUCAAGAUGCAGUGGAAGAAUUCAGAAAACUACUUGCUCUCCUUGAUGGAUCAUUGUUAUCAAACCAGAAGAGGAUCAGAAGAGGUCCUUUGCCAAAAUCCCAUGACAUAAACCAGGUUGAACUGUUGGACUCUCCUAACCCUUCAUCCCAAAAUACUACACACAAUUGGCCUCAGCCUCAUACCCUGCCCCAGCCUCGGAAUUGCUUGGUUAGACAGUUUUUUAGUGCUGUUCAUCAAAGUGAUCAAGCAACUGCAAAUGUGAUCCACAGUAAUAGCUUUAGCAUCGCUAGAGAGAAAAAACCAAACCCGGCAUUGCAGCAAGGGCAAUCUGAAGCCGGUGUGGUUCUUCCUAAUAAUUUUAUCAUGGGGUUGAACCAAUUCUCACAAAAGCCUACUAGCACUUCUUUGAUCAGUAUGGAUGGAAGUAGCCCUAACACGCGGAUGAUUCACUAUUCGUCGUCUGAACUCUUGGGUUCUCGAGAUUGUACCUCUAUGUUUUCUUCCAAAAGGAAGUGUGGGGUGAAAAGUGAAGAAGCCACUCCAAGAUGCCUAGUCUCUGCUGGUGGAUGCCAUUGCUCAAAGCGAAGGAAACUUAGAAUAAAGAGAAGAAUCCGAGUUCCUGCUUUAAGCAAUAAGCUAGCUGAUAUACCUCCUGAUGACUAUACCUGGAGGAAGUAUGGGCAGAAACCUAUUAAAGGGUCUCCAUAUCCUAGGAGUUAUUACAAGUGCAGCAGUGUGAGGGGAUGCCCUGCAAGAAAGCAUGUCGAACGGUGCUUGGAAGAUCCUACCAUGUUGGUUGUUACAUAUGAAGGCGACCAUCAACACCCCAAGAUUACAUUUCAAGCACCUACAGUUGCGAUUUAAGUUAACCAGUAUAAUAAAUCCAAUGGAUGCCAACAUUUCAGAGCUUGAACUGGUUUUGCAGUGUGCCAUUCUUGCUUGUCAUUGACAACCUGCAUAGGAGCCCUUAUACUAUCAGUCUCCACCCUACACUCAGGCGAAGUUACAAUUACAUGUCUUAUUGUUGUGAAGAAAUUAUGCUAUCCAACUUCAUCACAUCAAGUUAAAUCAAAGUUGUAACACGAAAACCAAGUUUAAUCCCGGAAGAUGUACACAAAGAAACCAGAUACUCUUACAGAUUAUUCGACAGAUACUAGACCUUAAGAGUUUCAUCGGUUAGGAAAUAAGUCAACAAUGUAUGUCAUACUAACAUAAAUCACUUGCUUCCAGAGUUUACUGUACGUUUUCUAAUACUUUUCUUUAUAACCUUAACUUUGUUGAUGCCAGAACUUGGCCAAUGAAAAUUGCCAAUGUGGGAGUGCUCUGCCAGUCUGAUUAUGUAUGUUCCUUCAAAUUUUUUAUACAAGCGUG